GUAUCAGAAGUGCGAAUGCUGACAUAAGUAACGAUAAAGCGGGUGAAAAGCCCGCUCGCCGGAAGACCAAGGGUUCCUGUCCAACGUUAAUCGGGGCAGGGUGAGUCGACCCCUAAGGCGAGGCCGAAAGGCGUAGUCGAUGGGAAACGGGUUAAUAUUCCCGUACUUGGUGUUACUGCGAAGGGGGGACGGAGAAGGCUAUGUUGGCCGGGCGACGGUUGUCCCGGUUUAAGCGUGUAGGUGUGUGUUCCAGGUAAAUCCGGUUCACUUUAACACUGAGGCGUGAUGACGAGGCACUACGGUGCUGAAGCAACAAAUGCCCUGCUUCCAGGAAAAGCCUCUAAGCAUCAGGUAACAUCAAAUCGUACCCCAAACCGACACAGGUGGUCAGGUAGAGAAUACCAAGGCGCUUGAGAGAACUCGGGUGAAGGAACUAGGCAAAAUGGUGCCGUAACUUCGGGAGAAGGCACGCUGACACGUAGGUGAAGUGAUUUACUCAUGGAGCUGAAGUCAGUCGAAGAUACCAGCUGGCUGCAACUGUUUAUUAAAAACACAGCACUGUGCAAACACGAAAGUGGACGUAUACGGUGUGACGCCUGCCCGGUGCCGGAAGGUUAAUUGAUGGGGUCAGCGCAAGCGAAGCUCCUGAUCGAAGCCCCGGUAAACGGCGGCCGUAACUAUAACGGUCCUAAGGUAGCGAAAUUCCUUGUCGGGUAAGUUCCGACCUGCACGAAUGGCGUAAUGAUGGCCAGGCUGUCUCCACCCGAGACUCAGUGAAAUUGAACUCGCUGUGAAGAUGCAGUGUACCCGCGGCAAGACGGAAAGACCCCGUGAACCUUUACUAUAGCUUGACACUGAACAUUGAGCCUUGAUGUGUAGGAUAGGUGGGAGGCUUUGAAGCGUGGACGCCAGUCUGCGUGGAGCCGACCUUGAAAUACCACCCUUUAAUGUUUGAUGUUCUAACGUGGACCCGUGAUCCGGGUUGCGGACAGUGUCUGGUGGGUAGUUUGACUGGGGCGGUCUCCUCCUAAAGAGUAACGGAGGAGCACGAAGGUUGGCUAAUCCUGGUCGGACAUCAGGAGGUUAGUGCAAUGGCAUAAGCCAGCUUGACUGCGAGCGUGACGGCGCGAGCAGGUGCGAAAGCAGGUCAUAGUGAUCCGGUGGUUCUGAAUGGAAGGGCCAUCGCUCAACGGAUAAAAGGUACUCCGGGGAUAACAGGCUGAUACCGCCCAAGAGUUCAUAUCGACGGCGGUGUUUGGCACCUCGAUGUCGGCUCAUCACAUCCUGGGGCUGAAGUAGGUCCCAAGGGUAUGGCUGUUCGCCAUUUAAAGUGGUACGCGAGCUGGGUUUAGAACGUCGUGAGACAGUUCGGUCCCUAUCUGCCGUGGGCGCUGGAGAACUGAGGGGGGCUGCUCCUAGUACGAGAGGACCGGAGUGGACGCAUCACUGGUGUUCGGGUUGUCAUGCCAAUGGCACUGCCCGGUAGCUAAAUGCGGAAGAGAUAAGUGCUGAAAGCAUCUAAGCACGAAACUUGCCCCGAGAUGAGUUCUCCCUGAGACUUAGAGUCUCCUGAAGGAACGUUGAAGACGACGACGUUGAUAGGCCGGGUGUGUAAGCGCAGCGAUGCGUUGAGCUAACCGGUACUAAUGAACCGUGAGGCUUAACCUU
RNAcentral lists this ribosomal RNA (1668 nucleotides) under Salmonella enterica subsp. enterica serovar Mississippi str. A4-633. RNAcentral describes it as "LSU rRNA". It matches the Rfam family "Bacterial large subunit ribosomal RNA", at positions 1279 to 2925 of the family's 2925-position model. The record is from RNAcentral. Lineage: Bacteria; Pseudomonadati; Pseudomonadota; Gammaproteobacteria; Enterobacterales; Enterobacteriaceae.